This 24-nucleotide non-coding RNA is filed under the name Arabidopsis thaliana (thale cress). Lineage: Eukaryota; Viridiplantae; Streptophyta; Magnoliopsida; Brassicales; Brassicaceae. The record is from RNAcentral.
AUUAAAUGUAUGGAUGUUAGGUAC